RNAcentral lists this ribosomal RNA (523 nucleotides) under uncultured haloarchaeon. Its description in RNAcentral is "bacterial SSU rRNA". It matches the Rfam family "Archaeal small subunit ribosomal RNA", at positions 1 to 526 of the family's 1478-position model. The record is from RNAcentral. Lineage: Archaea; Methanobacteriati; Methanobacteriota; Halobacteria; Halobacteriales; Halobacteriaceae.
AUUCCGGUUGAUCCUGCCGGAGGACAUUGCUAUUGGGAUUCGAUUUAGCCAUGCUAGUCGAACGAGUUUAGACUCGUGGCGAAUAGCUCAGUAACACGUGGCCAAGCUCCCCUUCAGUCAGCGAUACCCUCGGGAAACUGAGGUUAACAGCUGAUACAAAACGCCAGCUGGAAUGCGGCGUUUCAGAAAGACAUCGCUGAAGGAUGCGGCUGCGGCCGAUUAGGUAGACGGUGGGGUAACGGCCCACCGUGCCAGUAAUCGGUACGGGUGAUGAGAGUCAGAGCCCGGAGACGGAAUCUGAGACAAGAUUCCGGGCCCUACGGGGCGCAGCAGGCGCGAAACCUUUACACUGCACGGAAGUGCGAUAGGGGAAUCCCAAGUGCGAGGGCAUAUUAGCCCUCGCUUUUCUCGACUGUAAGGUGGUCGACGAAUAAGAGCUGGGCAAGACCGGUGCCAGCCGCCGCGGUAAUACCGGCAGCUCAAGUGAUGUCCCAUAUUAUUGGGGCCUAAAGCGUCCGUAGCU